RNAcentral lists this ribosomal RNA (429 nucleotides) under Bacillota bacterium. Its description in RNAcentral is "Firmicutes bacterium partial 16S ribosomal RNA". It matches the Rfam family "Bacterial small subunit ribosomal RNA", at positions 355 to 776 of the family's 1533-position model. Lineage: Bacteria; Bacillati; Bacillota. The record is from RNAcentral.
UAGGUAAUCUUCGGCAAUGGACGAAAGUCUGACCGAGCAACGCCGCGUGAGUGAAGAAGGUUUUCGGAUCGUAAAACUCUGUUGUUAGAGAAGAACAAGGACGUUAGUAACUGAACGUCCCCUGACGGUAUCUAACCAGAAAGCCACGGCUAACUACGUGCCAGCAGCCGCGGUAAUACGUAGGUGGCAAGCGUUGUCCGGAUUUAUUGGGCGUAAAGCGAGCGCAGGCGGUUUCUUAAGUCUGAUGUGAAAGCCCCCGGCUCAACCGGGGAGGGUCAUUGGAAACUGGGAGAAUUGAGUGCAGAAGAGGAGAGUGGAAUUCCAGGUGUAGCGGUGAAAUGCGUAGAUAUAUGGAGGAACACCAGUGGCGAAGGCGGCUCUAUGGGCUGUAACUGACGCUGAGGCUCGAAAGCGUGGGGAGCAAACAGG